This 499-nucleotide ribosomal RNA is filed under the name uncultured bacterium. Its description in RNAcentral is "partial 16S ribosomal RNA". It matches the Rfam family "Bacterial small subunit ribosomal RNA", at positions 28 to 507 of the family's 1533-position model. The record is from RNAcentral.
GACGAACGCUGGCGGCGUGCCUAAUACAUGCAAGUCGAGCGAAGUUUUUCUGGUGCUUGCACUAGAAAAACUUAGCGGCGAACGGGUGAGUAACACGUAAAGAACCUGCCUCAUAGACUGGGACAACUAUUGGAAACGAUAGCUAAUACCGGAUAACAGUAUUUCUCGCAUGAGAGAUAUUUAAAAGUUGGUUAUGCUAACACUAUGGGAUGGCUUUGCGGUGCAUUAGCUAGUUGGUGGGGUAAAGGCCCACCAAGGCGACGAUGCAUAGCCGACCUGAGAGGGUGAUCGGCCACACUGGGACUGAGACACGGCCCAGACUCCUACGGGAGGCAGCAGUAGGGAAUCUUCCGCAAUGGGCGAAAGCCUGACGGAGCAACGCCGCGUGAGUGAAGAAGGAUUUCGGUUCGUAAAGCUCUGUUGUUAGGGAAGAAUGGAUAUGUAGUAACUAUACAUGUAAGAGACGGUACCUAACCAGAAAGCCACGGCUAACUACGUG